RNAcentral lists this ribosomal RNA (253 nucleotides) under uncultured bacterium. RNAcentral describes it as "partial 16S ribosomal RNA". It matches the Rfam family "Bacterial small subunit ribosomal RNA", at positions 524 to 776 of the family's 1533-position model. The record is from RNAcentral.
GACGGAGGGUGCUAGCGUUGUUCGGAAUCACUGGGCGUAAAGGGCGCGUAGGCGGCUUCAGGUGUCGGAUGUGAAAGCCCGGGGCUCAACCCCGGAGGUGCAUCCGAAACUCUGGAGCUGGAGGCCGGAAGAGGAGGGUGGAAUACCCAGUGUAGAGGUGAAAUUCGUAGAUAUUGGGUGGAACACCGGUGGCGAAAGCAGCCUCCUGGGCCAGCACUGACGCUCAUGCACGAAAGCGUGGGGAGCAAACAGG